RNAcentral lists this small RNA (1625 nucleotides) under Pan troglodytes (chimpanzee). RNAcentral describes it as "retained intron". The record is from RNAcentral. Lineage: Eukaryota; Metazoa; Chordata; Mammalia; Primates; Hominidae.
UGAUUGCCUAUCUCUUCUUGACCCCAAGACCUUCCUUGGAUUUCAGAAGUGUCAAGCCUUGGGAUACAAUCUCCGAGACUCCUGCUUUACAUUAGGGACUCAAGGCGUGAGGGAGCUUCUAGGACUGAUUCCCAGAUAGUCUCUUUGAUCUUCCUUGUAGGUCUUCAAAGCUUCACCUUUCUCCAAAGGCAGAUGUGAAGAACUUGAUGUCUUAUGUGGUAACCAAGACAAAAGCGAUUAAUGGGAAAUACCAUCGUUUCUUGGGUCGUCAUUUCCCCCGCUUCUAUGUUCUGUACACAAUCUUCAUGAAAGAAAGCCUUGAGCCGGGCCAUGCUUCUCACAUCUUACCUGCCUCCUCCCUUGUUGAGACAUCGUUUGAAGACUCAUACAACUGUGAUUCACCAACUGGACAAGGCUUUGGCAAAGCUGGGGAUUGGCCAGCUGACUGCUCAGGAAGUAAAAUCGGCUUGUUAUCUCCGUGGCCUGAAUUCUACGCAUAUUGGUGAAGAUAGGUGUCGAACUUGGCUGGGAGAAUGGCUGCAGAUUUCCUGCAGCCUGAAAGAAGCUGAGCUGUCUCUCUUGCUGCACAACGUGGUCCUGCUCUCCACCAACUACCUUGGGACAAGGCGCUGAAUGAACCAUGGAGCGGAUGGCAUUGUCCUGCAGUCGUAUAGUAUAGCAGUGCAGGAACAAACAGCACUUGCCAGCAAAGUCUGUGUGGACUGUUAAGUGUGUGGGAGGCAGAGAGAGGAGCAGGGGCCAUGGGCUUCACAGCAUGGCACACGUGUGGGAACUGCAGACAUUCCCCUCACAGCUAGAACUGAAACAAACCCUCUUGCUAGGGGUGGCCCGUGUGAGGUGUCAUCCUGUCCCCCUCAUAAUUACUAAUAGCUGGAACUGGCAGCAGCCUCUACUGGGCUUUUACUGUGAUAUGUUCAGUUCAUGUCCUAGGAAGUCAGCUUUUGCCCCAGGUGGGAAUCCUUAUUUGGCUUAGGACUGAUCCACUUCCAUGUUACUUACAUCUGUGGGGUUUUGUUGUUGCUGUUAGAAAAUUUGUGGCUGGUGAAAACAGCACUCCUUUGGCUGGAGCACUCUUGUCUGUGCAUGUACUUGGGUGUUUCCCUCCAUCCUUUCUGAUAUGACCAAAAAUCAAGUUGUUUUGUUUUUUGUCACCUUCACUGGCAUGGGCUAACCACUUCUUUUUCAAACCCUCUGAACACCUUUUUUUGAUGGGUAACUUGCAGGAAUAUUCUAUUGGAAAAGAUAACAGGAAGUACAAGUGCUUCUUGACCCCUUCCUCAAUGUUUCUAGCCUUCACUCUCCAUUGUCUUUUCUGGGCUGUAUUACAGCCUUCUGUGGAUCUUCAACUCUGCUGCCUCCACUGUGAUGCAGCAGUCCAACUGUAACUGACAGUGGCUGCCUUCUCUGGGCCACGGAUCACACCUGUAAGGUACUAAUUACUGCCCAGCCUGGGGAGAUCAGGAGAGGUCUGCAUAGAGUUAGUAAGUUGGGUUUAGCUUUUGUGUGUGCAUCAGUGACUUAGAGUUCUGUAAUAACUUACUGUAAAUGCAUGAAGCACUGUUUUUAAACCCAAGUAAAGACUGCUUGAAACCUGUUGAUGGAAA